CACCGCCCGUCACGGCAUGGGAGUUGGUUCUACCCGAAGGCAGUGCGCUAACCGCAAGGAGGCAGCUGACCACGGUAGGAUCAGCGACUGGGCCG
This 95-nucleotide ribosomal RNA is filed under the name uncultured bacterium. RNAcentral's name for it is "partial 16S ribosomal RNA". It matches the Rfam family "Bacterial small subunit ribosomal RNA", at positions 1388 to 1482 of the family's 1533-position model. The record is from RNAcentral.